UUGACCAUGUCUUUCUCUUCCUCUGGAAUAAUACUGGUGUCAGUUUAAUAGAACACAUUGAAAUAAUGUCUAAGUAUAUUCAACAUUGAUACUGUAAUCAUAGUAAGAACGAAACCAGGAGACUUGACAUGCUGUAAGCAUAGCUAUCCAUUUCAAACAGCUACAAGGAAGACUUAUUUGCACAUAAUUACUAUUUCAAGAUAAUUUCUCUUGAUCCUGACACCGCAAGGCUGGAAAAGGGCUUUGAACUGGGGCUAGGUCUUCUGUGCAGCUGGGGAGGCUUGAAAGGGCUAUGAACUUCCAUAUCUCACUGGGAGCUGAUGCCUACGCCUGGGACUCAAGAAGUGGAUAUGAGGUGCUCUUUUAUGGUUGCAGCGAGGUCCUGGUAUCCUGAAGUUGGUCUAUGCCCAGAUCAGGAAACUGAGACUCAAAGAGACCCAGAGAAGUUGCCCAAGUUCAUCAAGGUGAUGAUGAGGAUGGUGAUCAGAAUCUGGAACGCUCUUCUUCCUCCCACUGAAUCAUGGUUUCCCUGCUCUCCUUCCAGAAUAAACUCAAAUCCUACUUCCUGUGGGAGGUUUCUCUCUGCUCACCCAGCAACUAGUGUCUUCCCUUUAAGAUAACCUUCCAUUUAUACUGUAUAUACUAUAUGCAUAUUCCUAUUUUUGUAUUAAAUUCAGUCUGUACUUCCCAAUUUGUCUCAUUUUUAUAGAAGAGACUAAAAUGUGAGUUCCACUUUUUUCUCUUUAUUUGUACUCCCACCUUUCAGUAUCAUACUUGGCACAUAGAAAGUUUCUAAUAAGUUUUUGCUGAUCCUUUGGUCUUACAUUCAGGGUGACCUGGCUUCAAAUUAUGCCUCUGAUACACAUUUACCAUAAGAUCCUUGGCAAGUCAUUGAACCUAAUGCAUUUGACAACACUUUAAGAAUAUAAUCCAGACUGACAAUCUUUGUCACUAGAGUGAGUUUUCAUAUUGGGAGUUUCCUACAUG
This 987-nucleotide long non-coding RNA is filed under the name Monodelphis domestica (gray short-tailed opossum). Its description in RNAcentral is "lncRNA (ENSMODG00000036040.2)". Lineage: Eukaryota; Metazoa; Chordata; Mammalia; Didelphimorphia; Didelphidae. The record is from RNAcentral.